Molecule: non-coding RNA, 2781 nt
Organism: Rattus norvegicus (Norway rat)
Lineage: Eukaryota; Metazoa; Chordata; Mammalia; Rodentia; Muridae
Source: RefSeq, a predicted model, not a curated record
GCACAGAUGACUCUAAUGACAAGCACAGAUGACUCUCGGGCCCAGCAAUUGAAGGAAGUGGUGCCUGCCACUGCUAACAAUACAAGGAAACCAGCUUAUGCAUGCUUGCGCUCUCUAUGGCCAAAGAAGUCAGCACUGCACCAUGUGCAGGGAAAUCUGAGCUGCUCAUUACUUCUAAUACACCAUAGCCAUGCCCCUGACAGAGUAAUGGAGAAGGAAGAAAGUCUGGCAAGCCUGAAGCAUCGUUUUAAGAUCUAAGGUGAAGAUAUAGAACUCAGCUCCUCCUGCACCAUGCCUGCCUGGAUGCUGCCAUACCCCAGCCUUGAUGAUAAUGGACUGAACCUCUGAACCUAACAAUGGAAAUUUUUGAAGUAACAACUGAAUUGAUGUCUGAAUGAGGAGAAGAACCUAAACAUAGAUAUUCAGGGAAGAGUCUUCCAAGCCGAAGAAAGAGCAAACAUAGGAACCCAGAGACGGCAACAAGCAAAAGACAAGGCCUCCUGGAAACAGAAUGUGGGACCAAGAGCCUGGCCUGUGAUGAGAUCAGAAACAUUGGCAGAGUCCAAGAGAGAUCCUAUGCCUGAAGAAGUUUCCCUCCAAGACGGAAGUCUUUAACCUUAGAGGAAACUGUUCCCAACAGGACCCUGGUUGGAGGCUGGUAGGUAUCACAGGCGAGGACAGUAAAGGCACACAGCGGGUAAGAAGAGAGGAAGUUGCAGACAAACACAAAGGUCUAGAGUAUACUUUAGAGUUAUUGUGGCAGCAUCUAUUAGAUUUAUGGAAUAUAAAUGGCAAAGAGAAGUCAAAGAUGCUGCAAAGGCUUGGGGACUGUCUUAGUUGACGUUCUAUUGUUAUGAAGAGACAUUAUGACCAUGGCAACUCUUAUAAAGAAAAGCACUUAAUUGGGGCCGGCUUACAGAGGUUUAGGCCAUUGUCAUCGAGGUGACAUCCAGGCAGACAUAGUGCUGGAGAGGUAGCUGAGAGUUCUACAUCUGGAUCUACAGACCAUAGGUAGAGAGAGAGAGACACUUGGCUUGGCUUGAGUAUUUGAAACCCUGAAGCCCAUCCCCAGUUACACACUUCCUCCCACCUCCUAAUCCCUGUCAAGUAGCACCACUUCAUAAUGACCAAAACAUUCAGAUCUAUGAGCCAUUGGGGGCCAUUUCUAGUCAACUCACCACAGAGGCAAACAAGUACUUCUGUGGAAUGGUGAGCGCAACGUUAGAUGUAGCAAGUUUAGACUGCACAGAUGACACGCGCUUCUUUAAAUGCUUUCUAAUCUGCCUCUACUUGUUUCCAGUUCCUUCCUGUUUGGGGAAUCUGGAAACUCCAAAUUCCUGCCUGUGAUUCUUGGGCAAAUACCUCACAUUUUCUUUAUGGUUGAUGACAAUGAAAUAUACUUGUCAAGAUGCCUACCUUGGUUUGGGUUUUGUUGCCCAUCUCGAUGAAGAGACACCAUAACCAAAGCGACUCUUAACAAAAUUUAAAAAUUUGCAAGUGGGUCUGGCUUCCAGUUUCAGAGGUUUAGCCCACUGUCAUCGUGGUGGGACACAUGGCAGCGUGCAGGCUGGAGGGGCCAAGAGUUUUAAUAUCUUAAUCCUCAGACAGAAGAAUGAGACUGCAUGCCACACUAGGCAUCACUUGAGCAUAGGAGACCUCAGAGCCCACCCAUACAGUAACCCACUUCCUCCCAGGUCAUACCUAAUCCAGCAAAGUCAUGCCUUCUAAUACCGCCCCUCUCUAUGGGCCAAGCAUUCAAACGCAUGGGUCUAUGGGAGCCAUACCUAUUCAAACCACCACAAUGCCUGAGUCUCACUGGAGAUGCCUCUCACUAGAUCCUUGCAUUUGUUUUCCUUUAUGAAAACCACAGUGCAUUUGCCUCACAGAUGGAGACAGAGGGGAUGAAGGAGACCCAGAAGCCACUGGGACAUAAUCUCUGACAUGCAACCUUCAGCGAGCACUAGCAAUCUUGAAGAGUCAGCACUGAGGCUUCUCUUUUACUAGGUUGAAGGAGGCAGUGGGUAAAGGAAGGGGUUGCAUGAAAGGAGGAACUGGGAGUAAAGGAGGAAGCCUCUAAGUCUGGCUGCCAGGAGAGAGGAGGGGACCAGUAUCUCCUAGCAAUCUGAUUAGAAAACCCACAGGAGCAGCUUAGAUGACAAAGGAGUUGAGGGCAUUUACUUAGGAGCCAGGAAUCACAAGAAGAAUGAAUUCUCCCUUGACUUGAUAAGGAUGCAGCUUACACCUGCAUGAAGAAGAGGUUCCCAGAUAAACAGGUAAGAGAAGGCCUAGGCAGGAGGCAGGAAGUGGAUAUCAAGGACUAAACCAAGUGUGCACAGACUAUACUUUGGAUGUAUUCUCAAAAGGACAAAUUAAAGGCUUGAUCCCCCUUGGGAGAUGGUAGAGCCUGAAGGGAGGGCUUGGGUUACUAUAGUGUGCCCUUAAAGGAGGUUGUAUGAUUCUGAUCUGUUCUCUCUUUUCUCUAGAUUAGAGAUAAGUAAACGUAUUGACAUUUUUGCAAACUUGGAAAAGAGACAGCCCAAAACUAUGAGCCAAAAGUAGGCCAAAACUAUGAGUCAAAACAACUUUUCCCCCUUGUAAGUUUGUUAUCUGAGGUGUUUUGUUGUAGUAUAGGAAAGCUGUUGAUUCAAAUUAAAACAGCCUCCAAGCCUACAAAUAUUCAAGGCUGUAUAUAGCCUACUGUCCUAUCCCCGGGUUCUGUGUUUGGAUCCAUGAAGCACAGAAGAAUAUUUUUUAAAAAAUGUGUAGGGUUGGGGAUUUAGC